ACUAUUUUGGCAGAUAAGUGCCUUAAAUUUAGAAUUUAAUUAUAUAAAUUAAUAUUUAUAAAUAGUA
This 67-nucleotide transfer RNA is filed under the name Axarus fungorum. RNAcentral's name for it is "tRNA-Leu". The record is from RNAcentral. Lineage: Eukaryota; Metazoa; Arthropoda; Insecta; Diptera; Chironomidae.